UAAUCAAAACAAGUUACAGAUUUAUGGUAUAGAACGAAAGUAUCGGACAAGUCAUUCGUUCAGUAAAAUAAUUAUAUAUUUCAAUGGUGCAUCGAAAAUUAUCAAAAUUUGGGUUUUCUCUAAAUGAGCAAAUAAAUUAUGAUAAGAUCUAAACGUAUGUCUUAUAAGUCGGAGAUAAAAUUAAAGUAUAACUUGUGUAGCUUGGAAUUUGGCGAA
This 216-nucleotide long non-coding RNA is filed under the name Mytilus galloprovincialis (Mediterranean mussel). Lineage: Eukaryota; Metazoa; Mollusca; Bivalvia; Mytilida; Mytilidae. The record is from RNAcentral.